GUCUGCCUGGCUCCCUGUAUGCCAUCUCAGAAGCCUGUCAAAAAAUUGAUAUCCUCUAUAGUUGGCAUGCAUGGAGCCAUGCAGAU
This is a non-coding RNA of Picea glauca (white spruce), 86 nucleotides long. Lineage: Eukaryota; Viridiplantae; Streptophyta; Pinopsida; Pinales; Pinaceae. The record is from Rfam.